Molecule: ribosomal RNA, 253 nt
Filed under: uncultured bacterium
Lineage: Bacteria
Description: partial 16S ribosomal RNA
Rfam family: Bacterial small subunit ribosomal RNA
Source: RNAcentral
GACGUAGGGUGCGAGCGUUGUCCGGAUUUAUUGGGCGUAAAGAGCUCGUAGGCGGCUCGUCGCGUCGACCGUGAAAACCCGCAGCUUAACUGCGGGCUUGCGGUUGAUACGGGCGGGCUAGAGUUCGGUAGGGGAGACUGGAAUUCCUGGUGUAGCGGUGAAAUGCGCAGAUAUCAGGAAGAACACCCGUGGCGAAGGCGGCUCUCUGGAACGCAACUGACGCUGAGACGCGAAAGCGUGGGGAGCAAACAGG